UUUUCUUAUUCCAUUCCCUAGACUGGUAGACUAUGGGUUUUCUGCAGAACUCUUCCACGUUUUUCACUGCUGCUAAAUGGCUUGGAUUUGUCACCGCCGUUUGGGUUCAAGCUAUUUCAGGCAACAAUUACACUUUCUCUAAUUAUUCCGAUGCUCUAAAGACUCUUAUGAACUUGACCCAACUCCAGCUUAACAGUUUAUCUGUCGCUAAAGAUGUGGGUAAGGCCUUUGGCCUCCUUGCUGGUCUUGCCUCUGACCGCUU
This 262-nucleotide unclassified non-coding RNA is filed under the name Hevea brasiliensis (rubber tree). The record is from RNAcentral. Lineage: Eukaryota; Viridiplantae; Streptophyta; Magnoliopsida; Malpighiales; Euphorbiaceae.